AUUGAACGCUGGCGGCAGGCCUAACACAUGCAAGUCGAGCGGAUGAAGGGAGCUUGCUCCUGGAUUCAGCGGCGGACGGGUGAGUAAUGCCUAGGAAUCUGCCUGGUAGUGGGGGAUAACGUCCGGAAACGGGCGCUAAUACCGCAUACGUCCUGAGGGAGAAAGUGGGGGAUCUUCGGACCUCACGCUAUCAGAUGAGCCUAGGUCGGAUUAGCUAGUUGGUGGGGUAAAGGCCUACCAAGGCGACGAUCCGUAACUGGUCUGAGAGGAUGAUCAGUCACACUGGAACUGAGACACGGUCCAGACUCCUAAGGGAGGCAGCAGUGGGGAAUAUUGGACAAUGGGCGAAAGCCUGAUCCAGCCAUGCCGCGUGUGUGAAGAAGGUCUUCGGAUUGUAAAGAACUUUAAGUUGGGAGGAAGGGCAGUAAGUUAAUACCUUGCUGUUUUGACGUUAACAACAGAAUAAGCACCGGCUAACUUCGUG
RNAcentral lists this ribosomal RNA (484 nucleotides) under uncultured bacterium. Its description in RNAcentral is "partial 16S ribosomal RNA". It matches the Rfam family "Bacterial small subunit ribosomal RNA", at positions 30 to 507 of the family's 1533-position model. The record is from RNAcentral.